RNAcentral lists this ribosomal RNA (253 nucleotides) under uncultured bacterium. RNAcentral describes it as "partial 16S ribosomal RNA". It matches the Rfam family "Bacterial small subunit ribosomal RNA", at positions 524 to 776 of the family's 1533-position model. The record is from RNAcentral.
UACGGAGGGUGCAAGCGUUAUCCGGAUUCACUGGGUUUAAAGGGUGCGUAGGUGGGCAGGUAAGUCAGUGGUGAAAUCUCCGGGCUUAACUCGGAAACUGCCAUUGAUACUAUCUGUCUUGAAUGCUGUGGAGGUAAGCGGAAUAUGUCAUGUAGCGGUGAAAUGCUUAGAUAUGACAUAGAACACCUAUUGCGAAGGCAGCUUACUACGCAGAGAUUGACGCUCAUGCACGAAAGCGUGGGGAUCAAACAGG